GACCUGGUUCAAGAACAGACGAGCUAAAGAAUGUCGGAAGAGUUCACAACUCCCUCGGAGAAUUGGAAGUGGACCUCACUAUAGGCCUACUUCCAGGAGUGGCGGUGAAGUUCCUGAUUUCGCUGCCAGUCCAGAUUCUGUGUGCCAGAGACAUGUGGAUGUCAGCUAUCCUCCUGAGUUUAGACCAUCAAGGAACUCCCCUCACCAGGAAUUCAACUCUUCCCUCAUUGAUCAACCCUUGGAAGACAUGUGUUUCAGCAAGAGCCACAUUAUCUCGGAGCAUCAAAGGCAGAAAUGUAGAGAACUUUCCAGGGAACCGGGGCACCUAUCUAGUGAUAGGUCUGGCUGUUCCAACGUUCUUUCCUCACCUUCUCCACCAGCCAGUGCUGAAUCUUCGUGUGUCAUACCCUCGGGAUUAAGCCUUUCUCCUCAACUCGGACCUCCAAAUAUGACCCAAAACUCAGAAUCCACCUUCUCCAUGUGCCAGACACCAUCGGUUUUGAGCCCUCUUCCUGAACUCAGCCCCUUGAGUAAUUCCCUAGACCAGAUGGCCAUCUUUUCCAAAAUUGAUCAGGUCUGUGAAAUCUAUCAAAAGAAUACAAGGUCUAAGAAGCAAAGGAAGGAGACGGAGAAGAACACAGUGCAAACUUUGAUGCAUGGCCAGGAUUCCUGUGAAAUAGAUGAAAGCCCUAAAGGCACUGUCUCUCUGCCAAGCUCUGCCUAU
RNAcentral lists this long non-coding RNA (724 nucleotides) under Mus musculus (house mouse). RNAcentral describes it as "long non-coding RNA chr7:14905457-14906181". The record is from RNAcentral. Lineage: Eukaryota; Metazoa; Chordata; Mammalia; Rodentia; Muridae.